UCUCCUUUCCUAUUCCCACCCCUACUGCUAUAAAACAGCACCAAACUUUGUUAAAUCCAAAUUCUUUGGGUGAUUUAAUUAAACAAUGCAAGGCUUAGGAAACUUGUUUUAGUUUUAAAAUCAUAAACUGGGAGGGCUUUUUUGUGAAUGCUUUAUGAGGAAUACCAUAGUCAAUUUUGGCAUCUGAUGUUUUUACAUUGAAAAUAAAUGCUACAUAACAUGCUGAGGUCAUUUAUGUUGAAGGCAACCCAGGUCUCCAGUCCUCAGGCUCUGGGAGAGACAUGGAAAUUGUGGUGAAGGUUAUUAACUUACUGAUCACUCAGCUCAUCGGUGACUUAGGAUAUCACUGUCUAUUUCCAGAGCUUGGAAUUCAGGCCUCUUAAUCAUAUUCUUUGAGACAGGAAAUUGCAGGUUUUAAAUAAAUUUCAUCUCUCACUCUCUGAUUACCAUUUGGCUAAGUUUGAGGGAAGAGACACCUGAAAUAGAUGAACGACAUAUUCAGGCAUCAUGAAUUUUCUUGGCCGUCUCUAUAAUUGUCCAUUCUUUUUUGUACUCUUCUUCUGUAGAGAAGUUGCAAUAUUUUCAAACUUAAGUGUCAUAGAAAACAGAAACAGGGAAGAGUUAUGAAAGGGAAAAGCAAGAGGAGGUUUUGUGGUUUUUUUUUUUUGGUUUGUUUGUUUGGUUUUUUGUUUUUGGUCCAGAAAGAAAACUUCUCAUUGGGUGGGGGACUUUUUCAAAAAUCAUCAUGAGGACUUGUAUUUUUUUCCUUGCCUGUGCUUCAGCUGAGAACAACAACAAUGUAUUUCUCGCAUUCCAUGAAACCAAAUUCAAUUGUUGCUUGGAGAGUCACUGACUCCCUUCACACCCAACCCAUGUUGGAAAACACAAUUUAACAGAAGACUUAGCACCUUAAGAUGUCCUGCAUGACCUUCAAGCCAAAAAUAAAUGCAUCAUAGGGAGCUGCUGAGGGUGUCCAGAGUAACUUAGAAAACGAGAAGGGUAAAAUAUGUUGUUUUAUCUGUUAAAGCAAUUCCAAAAUAUUUAUAGAAAGAAGUCAUAAUUGUUUAAAAUAUUUUCUGGCCUCUCUGGUGUUAUAAUGUUAACAUUAUGCAAGUCAAACGUGGAGAGAAUUGCAGGCUCCAUUUCAACAGCUUUUCCCAUGGCUGGUUUUAGACCCUGGUUCUGUGCCAAAGAAUUGAAACUGAGAUCCUCUGCUAUUCCAAAUUCAUGGAGGUUUAAUCUCUCCUCUCUUCACUAAGGUGACUGGCACUCAAUAUGGCAAGGCCUGAGGAAUUUAGAAAACCCGUGAAAUGAAGAGUAUGGCACAAGAAAUUGAAAAAAAAAAAUGCAUCCCUGAAUGGGAGCUUAGAGCUCAAAUUGCGUUUCAGACCUAGAGAAUCUGCAGAGAACAUAUACCUCAGCUGCUUCAACAGUUUAUUAAACCUUAACUUCAUAAGAAAAGUAAAGAAAAAAUACCAUUGGCUGUUUUUUUUAACAUAAAUUUUAUUGUGUAUAUUUAAGAUUUUAAAAAGGUUGUUAUAAAAUACAUACAUGUAAUAAAAUGGUUACUAUAGGGAAUCAAAUUAACAUGUUCAUCAUUUCCGAUAGACACCAAUACUCACCGCAGCAAAAGCAGCUAUAAUUUACCAUGUAUCAAAACCCCUGAAUGUGAUACAUUAUUAUUAACUGGAGUCCUAACAGCACACAUUAGAUCAUUGGACUUGUGCAUCCUACAUAUUUGCUAUUUUGUCUCCUUUUACCUAUAGCUCCCAAGUCUUCUCCCUUCCCCCAAGCCUGGUAAUACUGUUCUCUAUUUCUAUAUAGUUGACCUUUUUGGUUUAGAUUGAACAAAUAGAUGAGAUCAUGCAAUAGUUUUCUUUGUGGGUCUGGCUUAUUUCACUUAGUUUAAUAUCCAUGUUGUGGCAAAUGGAAGAAUCUCCUUCUAUCUUAGGCUGAAUAAUGUUGCAUUGUGUAUGUGUGUACCACAAUUUCUUUUAUCUGUCCACCCAUGGAUGGACACCUAGGUUGUUUCAUUUCUUGACUGUUUUGAAUGGUGUUGUAGUGAACAUAGGCGUGCAGCUAUCUCUACAAGGUGGUGAUCUCAUUACAUCCCUUAGCUGGUUUUAAUAUUUGCUUGUCAGUAGUAUUUUUUUUCUUUCCUUUUUGUUUGGGGAAAUCAGAGUAUAAGGAAAGUCAAUGGUUUAUAAUAAGCACAAAUCAUUUAUAUUAUCAGUAGUUAUAUAAAAGGAGUAACUAAACAAAGAAAAAAAUUUUUUUUCUUUUGUUCAUGUUGAACUAACUAAAAUUUCAUUAGAAUACGUGGGUUACUACAGAAUAAAAUGGCCCAGGUAUUAAGAAUAGGUAUGAUGUUUAUGUAAGAAGGUGUAGGUGAGCUUGUCCAAGCAUGUGGGUGGUUGUGUAUUUGCCAGUUCUGGCCACUUAUCUAAUAGGUUCAGCCAAAGUUAGUGGGUGACAUGACAUGGAUCACGAUCUCAGAAGACAUUCCUGGGCCAUGUGUUUCUUUUUCUGCCAGGUCUGGAUCAAAUCAUUUUAUUUUUAUUUUCUUUCCCUUUGUAUAAGGCAGACUAAAAAUAGGUGGAGAAUUUUUAAAAAGCAGACAUUACUAUAGUUUCAUUAGCCAUUUUUAAAAAUCCAGUUUGAUCAAUGAAAGGUGUGGCACUGUUGAGAGAGAGAUGGUGAAGAUAUCGCCCGAAGAAAAGUUGCCCAGGAGCUGGGAGAAGAUGACAGAUCUGUAGGCUGGGGGAAGAUUGGCUCUUAAACCUUCAAGAAGGGUUUUUCUUGCUUGGGCAGAUGAGUGAUUAGUAGUAUUUUUGGUCUGAGAGUAUUUUUUAUAUUAAGUCUAAUUGCCCUGUGGGAAAUUUAAUGAGAACUGAACAUUGAACAGUAUCAUCAUUGUAUUAGCUAAAGUAUUGUAAUGGAUAUUUUAUCUCUGUCUCUCAUUCUUAAUAUGAAACUCUAUAUCUGCUCCUCAAAGCAGGUUAGGUAGUCUCAGGGAUAAGAUUUUAUUCCAAAAUCAAGAAUGAUCAACAAUGCCUCAUUUUUAGAGGACUUUACCAGGUUGACCUAUCAAAAUUGCUGCUCCUCAAGUAUUGCUAAUGAAAAGUAGGCAGAAAGAUCCAAUGGAUGUAGAUGUUUUUCAAGGAGUGCCUAUUAUCAACUAAGUCACAUAUCUUUACUACAUCGAUCAGCUUUCAACUAAGGAGCCCCUUAGGCCUCAGCCACCUAUGGUGGAAGUAGGCAAACUCCUUCCCGGAAGAAGUUCAGUAUAGCUGACAUAUUAAGAACAUCCGGAAGUUAACCAGAGCCUGGAUGGCUGUAAAGUCUAGAUCAUGUGAUGAAGGCAAAUGGUCAAGAUGCUUUGAAGUAUUUUAAUAGAUACAUAUUGGAGAAGUUAAAUCAACAAGUUCAAUGUAUAUAUAUUUCUCAAGAAUUUUCUGUUUUCAAAGCUUGAACAGGAGGCCAUGAGGAAUACAAUGAUUUUUCCUUCGAGGGAUUUAUCAUGAGUUAAGAGAUCCAGUAUGUACACCAUAUUAUAUACAAUAUUUAUGUAUAACAUGUAUAUAUAAUUUAUGUACAUGUAUGCAUGCACAUGUAUGUUAGGCAUGGCCUAUAAGCAAAGUUUAUAAUUAGUAUCAUAGCUCUCUUCACAGUAAUUCUGCAAAAGGUGUUGCAUCAUUUUAUACCAGUUAAGAUAAGAAACUUAUAUUUGGAAUAAAAUGUCAUGUUCUAAAGAAACCAGGAUCCCUAAAAUAAUAUUUUCUGUAUAUCUUUGAGCACUCUUUCCAAUUCUAUGAAAACUGACCUAUCACUGAUUUGAAAGAAAAUACUCUUCUGUACUGGUUGCUAAAGGAGCGGAAAUUACAGCACAGAGGGAGGAAAUUUUUAUUUUUAAAGUAAAUCCUACCCCACUACAGUUGAAGCUCUGCAGAAUCCUGAGAGAUUGCCAAAACGUAUUGAAGCUAUUUCAAAAAAGUAUUAGAGUCACAGCUGUAGUUGAUAGAAAGUAUAGGGUAUCUCUAUUAAAUAUUUUCAAAAAUGAAUAAUUCCAGGCUUUGCUGCAUCACUGGAAGUAAAGGAGAAAGCCACAGAGCUUUAGUUUGCUGCUGUGUUAACCAUCAUGCUGGGCAAGAAGCAAUUUUAUAAUCUGUUCUAAUGCAUGAUACAAGUUCAGAUACAUCAGCAAUCGUAUGUCACCUUUGCUUCUGGUAUCACACACUGGCUUUGACAUUGGGAUUCAGUAGGUCACAGCAGACCAGGUGAAGCUACAUGGAUGGUGCUAAAGGGAGAUACGAGCAUUGACCUUUGCAGAUGAUGACACAAAACUGUCUUCCAGCAAGUUAUUAUCCUUUAUGGAUUCAAAGAGGAAUUUUAAAUUUAUGCUCCUAACUUUAAGGAACUCAUAGUUUACAAAAGAGAAGACGGAGAAGUAAACAUAAUUCAUUCAGGAACCUCCUAGGUGAUUAAAAGUUUAGAGCUAAAUAAUAGAACUAUUAGAGUUUCACUUCAGAAAUAAUACUAGUAAUAGGAUAAAAGUGAAUUUGAGAGGGAUGGGUACAGAGAAACAUGAUUAUAAUAGAACAGGGGAGAUAAUCUAAGUGUAAAUGGGUCAAGGAUGGUAAAAACUAAGUGGACCAUGGACAGAGAGAUGUGGAAUAGCAAUUAAUUGGACACUUAAAGCCCAAUUAAUGUGUGGAUUUUUGACUUUAGAUAUUUUCAGUGCCUUCCUACUCCCUCCAUUUCUAAGAUUCUGCGCUUUUAGUUAAAUGUGAGUCAGUAUUAACACUGACUCACUUUUAACAGUGGAGUCCUAGAACACAGAUCAGCCCAUCUAUCAGCAGGGAAGUGCUGAUAGUUACUUGAUAGCAGUUCUCUGUGAGGACCAUGCUGCAGCUGAGUGACAGCCAAGUGUCUCAGUUGCCCUUCUUUAGCACCAUUUGCCAGAAUUCCUCAUGCCUGUGCUCAGCCCGGGUCCCACAUCUUUGCAUGCUGUGGCGUGGCUUAGGCUACUGUGAGGGUCCCCCAUGGGGACAAAGGCCUCAGCUCCCUCUUCAUUGUAGUCUCUGGACAUUCAUGACUGUAUCCCAAGACCAUGACAAAACCCCAAACAUUUUGUCAUUGCUAGAGUAUGUACUUACCUCACAGAAUGCAAUAAAAUAAAAGCAGGAUGCAUUGUGCAUUGCAAAUGCACUGGGCAGAACCUGGGAGGUUGGCCAGGCUAACACAGUAGCUGAAUGACUCCCCCUGUCGAGAAGCUGGCAGUGAGAGUGAUGAGUUUUGUGUCUCAGUUAAUUAGUAAAUGGAAGCACUGGGACCACCCAUGAAUAGUCCCAAUUCACAUAUACCCACAAUAGACUCUAUAGUCGUCCACCUUAGAUCUCAACUUCUCCAGGACAAAAACCUGUUGUGGUUUACAAAAUGUCUUCACGCCACGUUGGUUCAGUAGUCCAAACUGGGGGUCCUAUUGUGUAGAAACCCAGAAGAGGCUGCUGUGAUGUACUUGGUGUGAGGUGCUGGCAAAGAGGAGCUGUUCACAGACACACCUGCUUGUCUGUCUCUGGCUAGAGGCCAACUAUGUAGAAAUUCUUGCAGCUUGGAUCCACCCAGCCAGGUCCUAUAGCUGUCUGCUGAUCCUUGCUACCUAACUUGUCAUCAGGUAUAAUCACCAGCAGCCAUACUCUCAGGGACCACCCUCAUUUUUCACAAGCACCAGACAUUGAAGUCUCAUGUUGGCUUUUCCAGCAACACUCACGUGGGAGUUUAAAUAGUGCUGUCAACAUUGUCAUCUCCAAACCCAGAGCGAGGCUUCUCAUCAUCUAUAAUUAGCAGCAUAAAGACAGUAAUGAUGUGUAAUAUAGACACACUUUGAAAUAUGAUCACACAAUUUGUCAUACAAAGAGAGUAUUCCUUGGUGCUCUGUCUGGUGACUACUAGAUGUACCCAGAGACCCUGGUGCUUGAAGACUUCUUUAGCAUCAGCUGCAAAUCAGUUUUCUCUGGCCUCCAUUUCUCAAUCUGUUAAAAAUAUAUCCAAAGUAUUUCAUCAGAUAUACUUAUCAGGAAUCUCUCUUUCUUUUUAUAUAAGAAGUUAUGGCCUAAGUCCUAAUCUUAACACUGCCUGUAUUGCACUUCCAUGGUAGGAUUGCACAUAUUGCAGCCUGGUGGAUGAUGUCUCAACACUGGAAGAGAUAUUUCAGGAUGAUUUUACAGAAGCUCUCACUGAGAAGAUGGGUACAGAGUUGUGUGAAGGGAGCUGGCAUUUGUCCUGUGUCCCUCUUCUAAAUGAAUUUGAAAUGAUAUCUGUCUUUCAAGUUGUGUGACAAGUCCAGAUUGAGUUUGAAAUGGAUGUGAUUUAAUUGGUUUCAAGUGACUGAUACAGUAACCAUUGCAUAACCUAUGUAAUUAAGUAUUGUGGGUUUGAGACACUAGAUAUUCAGAUCCAUCAAGGGUGUUUUGCUCAGCCCUGUAUCUCCAUCCUCUAGCAUUCCCAUGAGGAUCUUUGUUUGUUGAAUACAUGAAUUAAUCAGCAUAAAAAUCCUGACCUACGACUUCUCCUGUCCGGUGACUUCUCCUGUCCUGGCCUACAGUUGUCACUAAUGUUCUCCAUCUCCAGUUCUGAUAAGUGCAAAGGUUAAAUUAAGAUUUCCUUACAGUGGAGGGGGAACUUGGGGGAAGGUCUGGAAAUAGGUAUGCAACCAUAGAAACUGGCAUUUGAGGGCUUUCCCUGGGCAUUGCAGUUCACUUUCCUGCUGGACUAGAACUCUUCCCUAAACACGAAUGCCUACAAGCUUGAUUUGCUUCCCAAGUCUUGAUGACCACUGUCCAGGUGACUGAACUCUGUCCCCUGUGCACCAGUCACUGACCAGCAUCCUACACUGAGUAACCUGGUCACCCAGAACCAUCCCCCGGACACUGCCCUUAUCUGUGCCUCACCUACCUGAUUAAAUCUCCUCAAAUAUUGACAGACCUCUAGAGAGAGAUAUAAUGAGUCCUGCAGAUCCUAAAUCCAAGUUUUCUCUUACCCUUUGGACAUUGAACUUCAGAUUAUAAAAGACCUUAGUUAGGGAUCCUACAUAUAUAUUCAUCAAUUUUUCCACCCAUUCCCUUAAAUAUCAGAUCUUUCCACUUUUCCAUUGAGAGCCCACCUUGACAUGUGUGACUCUCAAGGUUUAAGUAAAUGUUAUAUUGAGAAAAUUCUUAAUUUCUUGAUCUUUGAAUAUGAAAAAUAGUUUAUAUCCUUUAAAAUUUUUAGCAAAACCUUGCAAAUUUGUCAAAGGAGAAAUAAUGUUUCAAAUAUUUGACUUCUGGAUAGCCAUGUAGAUCUAACAGAUGCACUUUUGUGGAGACUGAAUUGUUGUUUUCACAGGCUGUAUUUCCAGAAAUUGUCUUCCCCCAAAACAAGAGGUCUUAUUUUAGGAAAGGACCACUUUGUAUCUAGAAUGAAAUUAUCUCCUGUUGAAUUUAUUGGGAGGUGAUUUCUCCAACACAUUAGUUGGAAUGGGAUUGCUAAUAAAACCAAAGUCAGAAACCUUUGAUGUAGGGGAAGUCAAUCAGUGCCUUAAAGUAGAUGGUAAAGGGGAAGGCCUGAACUUCUAGGCUGAAGUGAAGAGAAUGUGGUUAGCACUGAGCCUACAGUGUGCAUUCAGUAAAUGCUAUGUACGUCACUAAUGCGUUCACAUGAGCUCAGUUCCAUUAGCCUAAGUUUAUGCAUCAAAUCCAUCUGAGGCUGUGAUCCUGCUCUUGGCUGUCAUUUCCUUGUGGCAGUAGCUAUCAGCCAGAAGCUAAGGUUAUCAGAGAGGCUAAUCAGGCUGCCAUGGCUGAUCCCCAGAGCAUCUGCCAAGUUGCUUCGGGAGCAGAUCAAGAAGAGGAGGUCUCCCAACCAGUCACAGUAGAUUCCAGUUUCCUUCUGUGUUGUGUUCAGGAAAAGCUAUUUAGAUUACAGAUUUCAGAACAUUAUCUUGAACUUUGUCAGAACUGCCUUUGAAUCCCAUUUAUGGAGUAGAACUCUUCCCUAAACACUAAUGUCUACAAGCUUGAUCCACUUUCCUAGUCUUGCUGACUGCUGUCCGGGUGACUGAAUUCUGUCCCCCAUGCACCAGCCAUUGGCCAGCAUCCUACACUGAGUAACCUGGUCACUGAGUAACCUGUGAAGUUUUUUGGUGGAGUUCUCCAGAAGUCAGACACCAAGUUAAAGAUUCAUAUGAAAAUGAAUUAUUAGAAGGUGAUUUAGGGAGUUACUUAUAAAAGAGUAGAAAAAUUUGACAGAAAAGGUAAAGAAACCAAUCAAGCAAUGGUAUAAAAAUAUAAAGUGCUGUCCCUCUGGGGAUGGGGUAGAGGUAGGUAUCUAUCUUAGUCUCCUGGGGAAGUAGAUCAUUCUCAGUUAGUGGUUAAGGGUUAGGCCCAGCCCAGGAUGUAAAUUCCUAGAAACUAUGAGGUCUCCAAGUGCAGGUUUUUCAGCAGUCUAGGGGCAGCUGACAAAGGCAAAAGUGUUGGGUGUUGGGAUUGAAAGCACAUGGGAAAUCUGUGUACGUAGACAUACCAGGAUUGGCAUCAGCAAGACACUGAUAGCAUCUGGUAUAAUAGCUUUGUUAGUUUACAUUCUCUGGGCCUCCAUUUUCUCUUCUGGGAGGAAAUGACUUGUUUAAAGCCUUCAGUGAGAUUGUAUAAGAAAAGGACCCAUUAAGAUAGCACAGGAAAGACACAUUUGUAUUCAAUAAAUGGUAGCUGUUAUUGGUCCCAAUUUGAGUUACUACAAACCUUAAGGCCUAAAUAAACAAACUAAACAGACGUGUAGAAUUUAAUUUAUAAUAAUAUAUGCCUAAUAGAAAAGAGUUUGGUUGUACCAGGAAGGUUUGGAAGCUAAAGAUGAUUUUGAUAAUGACUACAGAAAAUUACCUUGAAGUGAGUUUCAGAUGUUAUCAACAAUAGAACUAAGAUGAUAGCAUAAAAUUUUAUAAAAUGUGAUACUGUUGUGUAGUCAUAGACUUGAAAAUGAAUGUUCAGAUGAUGAGUUUGAUGAAGCCUUACUGCUCUCAUUUUUGUGCUCUCCAUAAAGUUAAAUCAGAUGCAUACAGCAAGUGGGCUGCCAAAGCUGGCUCAUGGUGGGAGUGAUACUGAAAAGAUCAACUCAACGUAACCAGCACUCACCAAAUAUCCGUAGGUCAUAGACAUACACCAAGAGUAGGCAUGGUCCCCAGUAAAUCACUGGGUGGGCUGGGGAUGUGGAGAUACAGAAUUAAAACCAACCAGUUAAAACCAAAUAAUUGCAAUAUUUGAAUUCUAAUUCCAUAUUAAUAUUCUCUUGAAUUCAUUUCUAAGUACUUCAUAAGCAUUAUCUUAGUUCAUCUGCACAGCAGAUAAAGAUUCCAUUAUUACCCCAUCUUAGAUAAGGAUACCAAGAGUCAUUAAGUAAGUAGCCUGCAUAGCUAAUGCAUAUGAGAAGGGUGAGUCCAGCCCGGGCAGCCUGACCCCAGAGUGCACACCACUGUCUGUCAUGUACUGUGAUGUGACAAACACAGUGGGAUAAUAGAGCUGUGUACCUGAGAUAAAGUUAAAUGGGCUGGGCAAGUAGCCAGGCUGUAGAGAUAAGUAGGUAGAGUCAGGCUCCAGUGCACCCUAUGUACAAUUCUAAGGAGCUUGAUUGGGCCUGUGGCAAGGCAGAACUGUGACUAGUUGUAGGAUUAACAUGUGAACAUGGACAGACACUUUCCAAGACACAAAAUCAAGAAAACUUGGAUUUUGGUAUCUAGGAACUUUAGUUUAAAUUUUUUGCCAGAAAUAAUUGUUUUGCAACAGAUACCAAUUGAAAUAAAUUUAGUUGGUUUAAAACAAGACCUCUGCUGGAAUGGCAAGUCAAAUGAUAGCUAAGUGAGUAGGUGUUGCAUAUCUCAUCAGCUUAGCUAAAGAACCAUAGUUAUGGGCUGGGGAUAUAGCUGAGUAAUAGGGCAUUUUCCUAGCAUGUACUAGACCCUGGGUUUGAUCCCUGCACUGAAAAAAAAAAUAAAAACAAAAACCCUCAAAUACAGGAGGAAUUCCAUGCACUGUGAAUCCUCAAAGAAUUGCAUUCAUUAGGUUUAAUAUAGCACCUACAUUUCUAAUGUCAGACCUCAUUAUUUUGUAUAUGAUAUAAACAUCAGAGAAAAUGAUGUUAUUCAUAUUUUGUGUAUUGACAAGAAUAAGUGUAAUAUUUAUAUUAUGUAAAAUGUUUUAUAUGCUUACUUGUAGAAGAAGGUUUUGGUGAAGUGUGUGUAAUUUCUUCAAAGUGAAUAGGCAUUUCUCCCUGAGGCUAGAUUAGUAGCAAAAUUCCAAAGAGAUAGUAGCCACCACCUCUCCUUUGAAAAGACUUGGGAGGUCUAAGGACCAUCCUGUCCUUGUGACUCUUGAGUUUUCUCUUCUGUAUUGUUCAUAGUUCCUCAUGAAUGCAACGGUUGUCAAUGUAAAGGAAACAUUUACUGCCUUACUAACACGUCUGUAGAUUGAGAACACACAUAUAUACUGUUAUACCAUAUGCCUUUGCCUGCUUCUAAAUCUGUACCUCUUUACCCAAGCUUUUCCAUCCUGGGGGAAUUAGAAUUCCCUAUUUUCUACACAGAAUUUGUGUCAGGUAUAACAAUGUUCUUAGACUACUCUUUUGAUGAAAUUAAUCCACACAUAUCAUUUUAAGUGAAGCUGAGCUUAUGAGAACCAGUAUAUACACAAUUCAUUGGCAUGUUUUUUAUAUUAAUGUUUAAGGAGUAAAGGGCAAAUUGUCAGAAAAUACUGUAUUAAGAACUCAUUUUAAAAUGAACUUGGGAUUUUUUUUCUUUACCAUUUAGUGAGCCCAUUUAAUGUUGUGAUGGGAAGAACAACAACGAAUCGAAUCAGCAAUUCUAGGAUAGGAAUCCAGUCUGUCAGCAGUCAGCUGUGGUUAUGAGCAAAAGCUCUAAUUUCUUUAAGCUUGUCUAUUAGUAAAGCUUUUCACAUCUGUAAUCCCAGCUACCUGGGAGACUGAGGCAGGAGGAUCACAAGUUCAAGUCCUGCCUGGGCAACUUAGCGAAGAGACCUUAUCUCAAAAUAAAAUAAAAAGUGUUAAGAUUGUAGCUCGGUGUACAGUGCUUGCCCAGCAUGUACAAGGCUCUGAUUCAAUCUCCAAUACUCCCCUCCCAAUACACACACACACACACACACACACCCCUAUUAAUAAAGCUUUUCAAAGAAAAAAAAUUUAAUUUGUCCCUUUCAACUUCAAAAUUAUUUUUCUAUUAAUUCAUAGAUUACAAAUGUGAUUCUCUGGAGGAGAUUCCCUCAUGCAGACUUUCUUCUGGCCUUUGUCUGGUCUUUGUUGUCAUCAGUGACUCCAGUGGAAGACAGGCUAGCCAAACCUGCAGGGGAUGCAAAGCUAAGGCUAGCUAAUGUGCUGAGCAGGAGACGUAGGGUUCAGAAUAUCCUGACAGCCCACAGCAAUGGCCCAAAAUUAAUGUUAAAUUUGAUAAGGAUAAAUGCAAAGUCCUGUAUCUAGGUUUGAGAAACUCAGCUUCUUAAAUGAAUGAAGUGGAAGUGAGAGUCCUGACCUACAGCAAAUCCUCUAUAAAAGAUGGAAAGUAUUUGGGUCAUUGCAAGCAUAGUAUAGCUAGCUUGUUCGGAAGACACUGUCAGAGCAAGUGACGAGGCUGCCCUGAAAGCAGUAGAGGCCCUGGGAUGUGGAAAGCACCGCUGCUCUGGUCUCUGCACCGACAGCAGCUACUGAGAAUAAUCAGAGUUCCAGACAUCGUGAUUCUAGAAGAAUGUAACAAACCUAAACAAACAGGGCUAAUGGUAAAGGUUCUUGAAAUCACAUUGCAGGAGCUGGAGAUGUUUAGUCUGAGGGGUGGUGAUGAGGGGGUAAUGACGUGAUGUUUGCUUUCACCAUUUAUCAUGCUGCAGAAGACUUUAACCAAUUGUGUUUAGAUAGCAUGGUAAAAUAGUGCAAUAAAUCACAAAGGUAGCCUUUGGAAAUAAAACAUAUGCAUGGAAGGAUUUUAGCUCUAUCAGAUGUAACUCUCUGACUCAGAAAAUUAUUGAACUUCUCAGCACUCCUAUUUCUCUUUUUUAAAAAAAUUGCAAAUAAAAAUUACAUUUAUUUAUGUUGUACAGCAUGGUAUUUGAUAGGCAUACACACUGUGCAAUGAUUAGAUCAAUAAAACUAACAUAUCCAUCACCUUACAUUCUUACUUUUUUUGUGGUAAUAACAUUUAAAUUUUACUCUCUUGGCAAAUUUUAAAUAUCCCAUUAUUAUUAUUUAUCAAUGUGCUUUAUAAUAGAUCUCCAGAACUUACUCUACCUAACUGAAACUUUGUACCUUCUGAACCGUCCCCUCCACAUUCCCCACCCUCAGCCACCAGCAGCCAGCCUUCAACCCUAUUUCAGGAGAUUAACUUCUUCAUAUUUCCCAUAUAAAUGAAAUCAUGCAAUAGUUAUCUUUCUACGCCAGCUUCUUGUCCUCAGUUCAUCUAUGUUGUUGCUUGUGGCAGAAUUUCUUUCUUUUUUAAGGCUAAAUAGUAUUUUCUUUGUCCAUUCAUUCUUGCUCAGAAAGCCACAAAAAUUAAAUGAGAUAGCAUGUAAAGUACUGGCAUAGCUACGGGAAAGUGUGGGGUUUUUAGUGGAAACUAAUCUUCUUUUCCUUUACCUUAUCAUCAAGAGAGGAAGAAUGAGGAUACUAAAUUACUGUUCAAAGAAAAUACUUUAUGUUGAUUACAAUUGUUUCAAAGUAGAAUGAAUGAGUUGCUAGGUCAGAGGUGGGGUUGCAGAGUUGAUCUGCAGGGGCACUCUGGUGCCUCAAUCUUGCCCAAAUACAGUUUCACAUAACAAUUGUUUGGAUUCUACACAGUGGGUUUCUACCUAAUAUUCCGUUUGAACAAAUAAAUCAGAAAAAUUUUUAAAAUGCAGAAAGUCAGUGAGCAAGAUGAUCCCUCUGGGUCUUUUCUUCUCCUUGGACUGUGCUUUUCUGUAUGCUUGGAACUGAUAUUCUCCGGGACAUGUUACGUUACUGCUGGCUCCUGAGCUGUGAAAAGAUCCAUGGGUAUUUCUCCAUUCUGUCAAUUCAGGGGAUUGUUUUAUAAGUAAUAGGAAAAUGUGCAGUUGUGACAGACAAAGGGGUUUUCUGGCUACUUCUUUAUAGUUCUCUACCUGACUGCAGGACCAUCGCCUUAUGUCUACUCCCCUGUGCUCAUGUGUGGCUUUGUCAAGGCAGUCAUGGAAUUAGCUUGCCAGUAUUUUAACUCUGGAUAGUCUUUUAAACAGCUGGUGUCUAAGUCCGCCUACUUCUCUCUAGCUGUUCUCCUAGGAAAUUUAAUUAUAAGAAACAGCUGAACUUAUCAAUUUUCUAAGAGAUCUUAGACAACGGAGUCAUUGUUCUUGAAGUACCCAGAAGUACCCAGGUGCUAGCUACACCCAAGUGAAUUUUCUAAAGAAACAAGGAUGGCAAACCAGACAUUCAUCCUAUGUCAGUGAUUAGGAGGCAAACCACAAACUUGCUCUUCCCAUGCUUUGGGUUAGUUUGUAUGCAUUUGAGGAAGAUGACUCAUGAUAAGAAGUUUUAUAAAGUGCACUUAGUAAUUUCUUAUAGGAUUCAUUUGAUCAGACAAUCAUUUUGGGCAGGAGCUUACAAAACAUAUACAGAUUCAAAGAUUAAGUAUCUAGGUGAGGAUUUCUCAACCUUGACACUGUGGCCACUUCAGACCACAUCAUUUUCCUGGGGUAGAGGGUGUCCUGUGCAUUGUAGCAUAUUUAGCAUGUCCUGUACAUUGUAGCACAAUGACAUCCAUGACCUCAACCCACUAGAUCACAGUAGCACUGCCUCCUUAGUUGUUUCACCCAAACUGUCUCUUAACAUUGCCAAGUGCCCUGUGGGAGUCAGAGAAGUUCUGUUUGGGAACCAAUCACUGGUCUAGAUCCAGUGGCUAUGUGUUGAACUGCCCAGGAUUGUUGUGGAGAUCAAAUUAGACAAAACUUGUUUAAACGCUUUUAAUCUGGAAGCUCAGUAGAAAAAAGGAAAAGAAGUCAGGGGAAGUCUCAUGAAAAUUGAAGGGAUAUCAGUGGAAUACAAGAAAGAGGCCAGGGGGCUGGGGCUGUAACUCCGUGGUAGAGUGCCUACCUUGCACUUAUGAGGCACUGGGUCUGACCCUCACCACCACAUAAAAAUAAAUAAAGAUACUGUAUCCAUCCACAACUUAAAAAAAAAGAAAGAAAUAUUAAAGAGAAAGAAAGAAAGAGUCCAGGAAAGAAGAAAGGGAAAGGGGAAAUACUGGGGAAUGAUAUUAGCCAAAUUAUAUUGUUGUACUGUAUACAUGUAACAAUAUGUAACAAUAGAUCCCACCACUAGCACAACUGUAAUGCACCACUAAAAAAUAUGGAAAAAAAAUUUAUAUUCCUAAAAAUUUUAAAUGUUUUUAAAAGCAAAGCAAACAUUUAUAUACAUGUAGUUACAGUACAUCUAUUAUCUUCUCAAUCAUUCGUUUGUUCAUUCAGUUGUCUUAAGUUUUUUUGAGCCAAAUGCUGGAAACUCAUAAAUAAAUUAAGAACUAUGAUAGGCUCAAAUAAAUUAAGAGCUAUGAGAAGCUCCAAAUAAGAGGUUAGAAAAAGAGAGCUCAUGAGAGAUGCACUACAGUGAGUGCACAUAUAUAACAUGCACAAAAUAUUUCAGAAGCUCCAAGAAAGGCAGGGUUGCUUCUGAGAACGACCAUAGCAAACCAGUGGACCAUGCAGCCGAAGUUGUGUGUAGCAUUAGCAAUUGACUAAUUGUGACUAGAGCCCUUUCAUAUGACGCCAUAUAUUCAUGCAGUUUUACUCCAAGUCUUUACCUGUUGACAGUCGGUAUUAAGCACAGCUUGAAGUAUUAUCAUUUAUCAGGGCCAGUCUUGAAGUGGCAUCAAGUGUGAAUGAGUAACUUUAGACUUGAAAUUGUCACAGACAGCUGUUAUUUUUUCCCUGUCCUUCUUUUUGCUCAUAUCUGUUCCAAUGAUAGCAAAUAAUCAAAUAAAAACAGAAGCAAAAAAUAAUUUCAAGCCAGAUUUCUUUAAGUAAAGGAGUAAACAUCAGAGACAUCAGGGGAUAAUGCUGGAUCAAAGUAGAAACUCAGCUGUGGGCAUGUUCCUCAAGUGGAAGAAUUGAGUCUGUUUUAGUUUUGUUGAUUCAAAAAGAAACACUCAGAGCAUUAUGAACACCUGUUUUUAAAUUCUAAAUCUGGCAUUGUAUAUAUAGAUCAGAAUAAUUCUAAAGCCUGAGUGAUUAAACUUUUAGUUCCAGGGAGAUUAGGAUGAUCAUCAUUGAAGUACCAGAAUUUCCAAAUUUUAUUCCAGGGUAUUCUACAUUAAAUAUUUCUUAAUAAGGAAAUUCCACAUAAAAGCCAGGGUGCCUGCUGGAGCCACAUUUAUAUUAAAGACUUUAGCCUGGUCCCCUGUAAACCUCCCCUGCAAUUUUACCUAGUUCAUGUUCCAGAGGUACUCACAGGUUGCCUAGAACAAGAGUUGUUAGCUUUAGCCUGUGCUGCGCUAAUGGUUAUGAGUCACAUUUGUUUUGGAAGAUCACCCUUAAAGCCUGCCACUCAUGCUUGUUUAUGAGGAAUGCAACAACUUAAACAUCACUUAACAAAUCCUCAUGAAUGCACAGUCACAUCUGAGUGCUUCCAGCAAAUGCUUCCUGUCAUUUCUCCCUCAACAGCCUAGAGAAAUUAAAGGCUGAUGGAGCAACUGAAAGACAUCCAGGAGAGCUUAUUAAAAGAAGCAUGGGAGGGUAUGAUAACUGCAAAGCCAGCUGUUGAAACUAAUAUAAUUGGGGUAAGAUUAAAUUUCAUCAGUCUUAAGAGUGCUUUUUACCACCAGAGAAAUCAAUCCACCUUAUUUAAAGUGAUGCUAAUAUGGGUCAUUCUACAUAAGGAACUAUCUCAUGCCUUUAAAAUAAUCAUGCCGUGCUGAUUGUUUUAAGCAUUACAAGUGAAACAAACAGCUGCCAGGUGGAUCUAUUGGUAUACUCAGGCUCCUUGUAAAAAUUUUCUCAACAUUAUUUUUAAAUCUCAGUUUGAUUACACAACCUGCCCUCCAUGUACAUCAACUGUGCAUCCUUGGAUUCAAUCAAUUGCAGAUCAAAAAUAUUCUUUAAAAUAUUUCAUCUAUACUGCACAUGUGAAUUUUUGCUUUUCAUUAUUCCCUAAACUCCAACAACUAUUCACAUAGCAUUUGCAUUAUAAUUGGUACUGUAAGUAAUCUAAAGAUGAUUUCAAGUAUGAGGAAUAUGAAUAGGUUAUAUGCAAGUUAUAUACCAUUUUAUAGAAGGGACUUGAGCAUCUAUAGAUUGUGGUCUCUGUGCAGGGUCCUGAAACUAAUACCCCUGGAUACCAAGAGACAACUGUAUUUGCAAUAUGAGAAACAAAUAUACCUUAUUUAGGCAUAGUCGUGUGUUGAUAACUUUUAUGUGGCAACUUACUAUGACAAUCAAAUCCAUAUUAUGCUUUAUAAAUUAGGAACUCAUUGGACAUAUUUAUGUUUUUUUCUAUGGGGUGAACUUGUUGUCUUCAACUUCCCUCACUUGAAAAAGAACCUGUAUUUUUCAUAAAGCUACCAGGAAUUAAUUUAGUCAACAAAUAUUUAGUGAGCAAUUACUAUCUCCCACAUACUAUUCUAAGUGCUUGUAAUGCCUCAGUGAACAAAAAAAAAGAAACCUCCUACUGACAUAGAGUUUCCCUGAGCAGGACAUGGGGGGUGGGAGGCGGAGAAGGCACAAAGGUGAGGUGGAAAAUAGGCUGCAACAAUAAUAACUAAGUAAAUUAUCUGGUAUUUCAGAAAGUAGAAAGUGCUGUGGAAAAUUGCCCCAUUUGUUCCUUAUUUGAGUAUACCCCAAAGUUGACUUUGACUAUAUGAUGUCAAUCUCCUAGGCAAUAAAUGUUAGAAUCUGAUUUAAAAUAAUUUAAAAGUAAACUAAAUGUCUGUGUUCUCUCUGUCUGGAAGCUUCAGAACCAAUCCUCUCUGUUGAUGAAGAAACUCAGGCCCAGAGGGUUUGAGAACUUACCGAAGAUUCAAAGUAGUUGCAGGCAGGAGUGGGACCAAGACACAGCCUCCACCCCCAUGUACUUUCUUCCAUAGUUUAGCAUUUGACAACAAGCAACCUAGUUGAUGGAAUCCAUUUGAAAAACUGGACCGUUUCUUCUCUCACUGCAGAAAAACCAUCAACCUAGAGAAGGUUUUUGCAGGGCCUUAGGAAAUCACAAGGCUCUUCUUUGUGGUGGAAGUGUGGCCCCUGAGUCAUGCACUCCCAUCCACCUUCCUUACUCACAAAUUAUAACUGAGUGCUGAAAUUGCCUUUCCAGUGGAGCACUGGAAUGCAAGGUUGGGAUGAGCCCACUUAUGUUGCGGUCACAGGCUUCACAAGUCCCAUACCUGCAGUCACAGGCUUCUCUUUCUUUUUCCUGUCUCCUGUCCUGUUCUGUGCAUAACUUGAACAUUGCCAUCAUUCUUAGAAUUCCACUAAGUUCUAUGAUAAAAUUAUUACUUAUAAAUCCUGAGUAAGGAAAGUUUUGAAAAGACGCUGCACAUUAUGAGUCAUAAAUUACAGUCAAAAGUCAUGGAUUCUACACUUAACAACUUACUUUCCCUAAUUGUCAGUUGGGUUUCAAAAUCUUUCUACUUACAAGAUUGUUAUAAGAACUUAAGGGUUAAGAGAGAUUGUGUCUGUCAUAGCACUCUGAAAACUGGAAAUUGAAACUCAGUUCAGUUACUGCUGCCCUUUCUUUCUCUGAAGACAAAUUGCUAGAGGAAUAAACAAAUUGUUAUGGUUUAGAUGUGAUGUGUUCCCCAAAAGCUCACGUGUGAGACAAUGCAAGGUUUGGAGGAGAAAUGAUUGUGUUGUAGCCUUAACAUAAUCAAUGAAUUUAUCCCUGAUGGAACUGAGUUAUAACUGGAGGCAGGUGGGGUGCGGCUGGAGGAAGUGGUUCAUUGGGGGCGUGGCUAUGAGGUAUAUAUUUUGUAUCUGGAGAGUGGAGUCUCUCUCUCUCUGCUAUCUGAUCAUCAAGUGAGCUGCUUCCCUCUGCCACACUCACCCACUAUGAUGUUCUGCCUCACCUGGAGCCCCUGGAGAAUGGAGCCUGUUGUCUAUGAAUUGAGACUUCUGAAACUCAUUUACCCGGAUUCCACCUCUUCCAAAAGAAGAUAGUUCUCCCCCUUCUUCCUCAACCUUUGGAUUUUUCAGAUCUUGCAAAAAACCAACAACAACAACAAAAAAAACAACUUAGGACCUUCCAGUCAUCAAGCUUAAAAGGCACUUGCUUGAACCAAAUGUCGACAGUGUAAAGGGCACUGAAUUGAUGUGUUCUCUAAGACCCUCUGAGGUCUUGAAGUAGUUUUCUUUUACCCAGGAAGCACUGAAACUAAAAGGGAUUAAGAAGAUUGUAGUGCAUCACACAGCAAGUGGAAAAGCUGCAACUGGAACUCAGUGUGGCUGAUGGAAAGCCCUCCUAUGUACCUCUAAUGUCUUUGUAAAGUGUUUAGUGAAUGUUUGGUCUUCUACUUAGUAAGGCUGAACUUAUAACUCCAUGUUAUAGCAAUUAAUAUAUCUCUCAUUUUAUGUUCUUGCAUCCAAAAUUACUUAGCAGAGGAACUUGGUAGGAGUAAGUUCUGAGAAAAGGUUAAGACAGCAAAAGCCACACAAUCGAUGCAGAGUUGAGAAUGGAUUUCACAGGAUUGAUGCUAUGUAUUUCUGCUCUACGAAAAUUAAGUAGUUAUCUCUCUUAACUACCCAGGAGAAUUUCUAGUCCAAAUACUGAUGUAAAUAAACUGUGUGUGUCUCUGUGUGUGUCCAUCACCACAGGACAUGAUCCCUAGCUUAAAUUUUCCCUUUUUGCAUGCUAUUUUUUCGUAGUGUUAUCAUUAAUUUUAUGUUAAUAUAUAUCUUUUCCUCAAAAACUAUAAGCUAUGUGAGAUCUCAUUUGGCUGAUUUUUUUUCUUUCAUUACCAUUGUAUAUCAUUAUUGUUAUUAGAAUACUCUCAGACAACCUAUUCGACUUCUUAAUUAGAAUGUGCGUGUACACACACACACACACACACACACCUCCCCCCAUGUUAGAAUACAUAGCUCUAUGUAAAUAAAGACCACUUUGAACCUCAGAUCCAUUCCUUACUCUUUGUGUGACCAGUAUAGUAUGCAAAGAGUGAUAAUUAAACUCUUGAUUUCAAGUCCUUCUCCUACCAUUUUUAAAUUUCGAUACAUUGGCCAGGUAAAAACUUCUGUGAGCUUCACAUGUACUGGUGAAACCAGGAUUACAUGACAUAUUAUCUCAACUAAGCAAGCUCAUCGAAGGGAUUCCUCAAGGGCCUUUGCAACUCCAUGAGCUAUACCUGGAUUUGCGUAAUAGUUGAAGCCCCUGAAGAGUUACAAGAAAAUUGUUUUAAUUAAAAUUAAAUAGCUAUGGUCAAAUCUGUUCUUCCACUGGCUUGCAUGAAUGAUGGGUUGCCUUCUUUCUCACAGAUACUCAGAGGAUUCCUUCAAUCUGGUUUUUCUCUACUGUGGUUUUAAAUUCAUAAGUACUCUAUAGACAAGCAUUAAACUCUCAUAAUUAAAGGGCCUCUACCUAAGCCUUUUAUAAAACAAAUAUGCCUGUGUAAAUAAGGACAUCUUAUUUUAUUCAUAUUUGUGUGCAUUCAGGUUUUCUGGUGUAGGGUGUAUCUGAGUAGAUGGCUGAAGGCCGAGCUCCAGGUACCCAGCAUUAUCCAAGCCCCCUGCAUGGGAACGGUCCAUACAACUUCCUGUGUUCCCUUUCCACAGCCUUGAGGGGAUUGUAGGGUAUAAAAAUAUAGCCACACAGCCUUUGAUGCACAUGGUUUGUUGUUAUUAUUAUAGCUUCUUAUUUUAAAAUCCCAACUUUAAAAAAGUAUAUCUCCUAAAGUUUAAUCAUCAUGAAGUUCCAGAAUUCCAAAGAAAGCUAGAUUUUUAUUUUUAUUUUAUUAAUUUUGGUAACAGGGAUAGAAUCCAGGGGCGCUUAACCACUAAGUCCCAUUCCCAGCCCUUUUUUAUUUUUAUUUUGAGAUAGGGUCUUGCUAAAUUACUCAGGGCCUUGAUAAGUUGCUGAAACUGGCUUUGAACACAUGAUCCUCCUGCCUCAGCCUCCAGAGCCACUGGGAUUAAAGGGGUGUGCCACCACACCCAGCUAUGCUUUAUCUCUUGAUAAAUAAAAUAGUAAGUAAGGGCUGGGGUGUAGCUCAGUGGCAGAAUGCUUGCCUCGCAGGUAUGAGGUGCUGGGUUUGAUCCUCAACACCACAUAAAAAUAAAGAAAAGGUGUUGUGUCCCUUUACAACUAAAAUAUUUAAAAAAACAGAAAAGGAAAUACUAAGUGAAUUUACAAAAGAAAUGCCCAUAAACAAACUUGAAAAGAAUGGCGUGUGAGCUAGUAAGGUUGAGAGAGAGGUUAUCUAAACUAGCAGUGCUAACCUGCUUAGUACUGCAGUAGCUGUAUAGCAUGUGGUUAAAAGGACAGUCUGGAUUUGAAUCCUGCUUUGUCACCAUUAGUUGUGUAAACUCAAUGAAGUUGCUUCACUUUCCUCUGCCUCAGUUUCCGUAGCACACAGGUUAUUGUGAAGACUAAGUUAAGUCAUAUAAAAAAAAAAAACUUUCACAAUUAUCUGGUUCACAGAAGCUCCAUCAAUAUGGGUGAGCUAGUAUUGUUUAAAAACUAAAGAAAGAGAUCCCAGAAGCCACACAGCUUGGUGGGAUUCAGAUACACGUUUUCCUUGCCUCCUUUCCCUCCGACCCCACUUUGUUUACUUCCCAACCUGCCUCUGCCUCCUAUUUCUCUUCCUUCCAAUUUGGGAAUAGCCCAUGAAAAUGUUUAAAGUGAAAAAAGAGUUGAAUACUAUUAAGGAUGCCAGCAUCUGUGAUAGUUAAGUAUACUUUCCAGCUAAAGUAACCGUAUCCAAACCAUAUGGGUUUUAGGGCAAAAAAACGAAAACAAAACAACAACAACAACUUAUUUCUUAGGAAAAAGGUUUAACAUUUUGAUGGGUCUGCCUCUCUGAAUGGGUAUUUCUUCUGGAAGAUGGAACUUGCCUCCGUGAUGAGAUAAGAUGGUUGGACUUGGAUCCAAAGGACCAGCCUUAAGGGAGUAUCUUACAUACUCUUAGGACAAAAUUCCCUCUGCAAAGUCCUCUUGUCCUCCUCCAUCACAGGUUGUAGUAGCAGCAGUUUGUACAGGUGACACAUAUGAACAUAUAAAGAAGGUCAAAAUGCAAAAGAAAAGUUGUCCCUCGGGACCUUUUGCAGUAUCUCCAAUCUUUCUGCUUUUUAUCUGCCUCACCAGGGCCCCACUGACCUCAAAGGUCCCCUGUUGCCAGGCCAUGAAGGACAUUUGAGCCAGAGGGCUGGGACCACAGCCAAAGCUGAUGAAGGUGCAGAAUGUAUGACUAAAAAAAGCCCAAACACAUGGCACGGGGUAUAGCAAAUAUGUUUGGAGAAAUGGUUUAUAAAUAACAUAGAAAGGGGAAGGGGGUCAAGAGUCAAGAUAUUGAGUUGUCCCGAUACUUGAGGUCAGUCUCACCAUUUCUAAUCCUGAACCCGAAUUUGCACACAUUAAAAAGAAGAAGGGGAGGGGAAAAGGCUCUAGGCUCCCUGAAAAAAAAGCAACUCCACCUGGGCUCUUUCCCCUUUUCUUUGUCAAGAUAUUUGUUAGUUUGGCAGUAAGCGUUUUAAACAGGAUCUCUUUCAUUUGGAAUACAGUAAAUUAAAAGAUAUGCUUCUACAUUUCAGAAUAAUCAGAUGAACAAGGAAAGAAAAUAAAGCAAGAAACAACUCACAAAUAGGCUUUAUGCUUUUCUGAGGGUGGUCUAAGGCUAGGAUGCUGCAGAUAUUCGAGUAUUUAAGGAUGUUUUAAAAUAGUUCCCAUCACAGAGGGUGGAUGAGCUAAUGAUAGAAGGAAUAAGGAAAGAAGUUAAGUAAUCUGGGAUGGGCUUCUUCUUCUUUUCCCUUUUCUCUUUCUGAUUGUUUCUCUUGACAAGCCUGAAGGUAUCUCAAUUCUGGUUCAGAACUACCAAACCCCAGGGGUCAACAUCUGGAAGCCAGAAGCUUAUCAGUGGUCUCAACUCCUCCUCCCUCCUGGGGAGCCCUGACAAACACAACUACUUUCUUUUCCUGUUUAGUGGCAAAGGUUUGGCUCCCUUUUCUUUCAUAUGGGAAUAUGAACUUUGGGGGCUUUUGUGGCUCUCUUAUUUAUUUUUUGAAUAGACAAAUUCUUGUUCCUCUCACAAGCCCUUUCCUUGGCACGGGGAGACCACAAACCAACUGUGACUUAUAUCUGUCCAAGGAAGGGUAACCCAUUGGUUAAAGACAGGCUUCUUAUAAGUGAAUGAACUUAUUUUUGGUUUUUUGCCAGGCAUAUUUCUUUACUAGAGAGCUGAAUCAGGAAGACCAGGAUUUUUGGUGUUAAUGUAUACAUUAUUUAAAAUUUUGGCAGUUGGCUUUCUGGUUUGAAUCUCAUUUUCAAAAUGAAAUUUAUGCCUUGAGUCAGAUCAUACUGAUACAGCUCUGAAGAUGCCAGGAAAAAUUCUGUGAUUGCAUUUGCAGCUGCAGGCAAGGCCGUGGCACGAGGUGAGAAGAAGCACCUUCUACUUAAUGCAGAAUUGUGAAUUCAAACUUCACAUUUUCUCUAAAUCAAACGGUAUUUUGUUCAUUUCAGUACAUUGAUUGAGUCAAAUAGGAAAUUCUUCUCUUUUAUGCUCUGACAGAAUUAAGUUCUUAAAAAAAAAAAAUCCAUGGAUAAGCAUGGCUUUCUUUUUUUUUUUUUUUUUUGUAUGAUAUCAAAGCCUAUAUAACAAAAGCAAUUUCAGAACUUUGUGACUUCCCCUUGAAGGUCAUGCCACAGGCUAUUGUUCAUGAUUCUGUAAUUAACUUCUUGUGUUGUUUGUUUAAUCAUCAGUGCAAUCAUUUUUGUAAUUAUUCAGGCCAUGACAAUAUAUUUAUUGACAACAUAACAUAAGAGAUGACAUCACCUGUUCCACUGAAAUUGAGAAACCUUGAAUGUGAACACUCUCCUAACAGCAGUUCAAUAAUCCAUUCAAGAAAGAAAAGAAAGUUCUUAGUGAAACCACAUGGGUUUCCUUUCUAGGUGCAUGGAGACAAUUUAAAAAUUCAGUCUCAAAUGUUGCUGGGGAUGCAGGCCAAACCUAUAAUUUUAAGAUUGGACCUUUUUAACCUGUUCAACCUUGGGAUACCUCUUAUCUUUCCCCUAAAAUUUCUCGGCAAUAAUCACUAGUGUAUUGGAUCAUUUAUGUUUUCACUGUCUAGGAUAUAGCACAUCUUCAUCCUGAAUAUGUGAAUUUAUUGUUAGCUUUGACAAUGUGAUAUACGGGUCUAUUGUCUUUAGACUUCAGGUCACUGCACUUAUUCUGCACUCUCCAGUCUUCAGAUUAUUGCCCUUGACUAUGAAGAAGAAAAUUCUGAGUUUCCCUUUGCUAUCACUUUCUUGUCUGAUUUGAAUCAUCUUUUUUGUUGUUUCCAUAUUAUUUUGGUAGAGUUUUGUGAGAUGAGACAAAACUCAGCUUUUUACUUUGCCUUUUAAAUGGAAAAUCUCUAAACUGUUGAUUGUGUCACCUUUUAUUUAAAAAACAGAUAUAGAAUACAUAGGUAGUGUGUAUGUGCACGCAUGUGCAGGUGCUUAGUAUUAACUUGGCCUCUGUCUUCUAGUACAACCUGAAUAGUUAAAAGGUCUUUUAUGAAAUAUGUAAAAGAAGUGAAAUCUACCCAUGCAUGAGGUUUAAUUGAAGGUAGAGAUGAUUCCUUUGGGUUAUUAUGCUUAGGCUAAUUAAUAAGUCUCAAAUUAUAAUCUAUAUGUAACAAAUAUAUAACAAUGUUAUCAUUGCUUGGCAAGUCACAAUACAACCCAAGUCGUCAACUUCAGUUGAGAGGGAUGGUGGUGAAAAUUUCUGAACCAGAGUGCUGACCCCAGGAGUCGGUAGGAGGACUUUGGGAAGUUGGAGUGCAGAAAGGCAACACUAAUCAUUUCAUUCAUUGCUUCCUUGUUAAUGUUUCUUGGGAAUGGUGCAUGACUGGCAUCAUCCAAGGCUUGCUGCAAAGGAGGAGGGAGACACCGAAUGUAAAGGUGAGAACAGAUGAGAAGAAAUCACCCUCCACCCUCAGGUGCCCCUGGACCAGUCUACCUGUGGAUAUGCUGCUCUGUUCUGAGCACACCCAGCACUUAGAGUAAUAAGCUACAGACAACUUCUACUUUCAAACAUAAUGUUUCAAAAUAAUAAGAUUCCAGAAUAGUCUAUUUGUAACCACUUAGCCACUUAAGGUUGAAAUCAGAAAGGAAACAGGAGCAUUUAUGUGGGAAGGUUUUAAAAACUGGUUAGAACUGGUGUUUUCUAUUCAGCCAUUUAGGUUGUGUUUUAGGUUUCUUCUCUCCAUUAUGCAUUGGCUUGUCUUGGGUGGAGGAGCACUGUGUUGGCAGGGUAACAGAGAUGUGAAUCAAGAAAAUGGAAACACCACUCAAUAUUAAAAGCUACUGUCCCCCUAAAAGUGACCACAGAUCAUCAGGUCUUGCCACAUAUUCAGAUUGCAAAGCAACUACAGAAUGCUAAAGAAUAUUCUUUACAACCAGUUACCCCUGGAGUUUUGCUACUUACACUCUGCUCUUAGAAAUGUGACAGUAGACUCCUUUGAAAAAGAAAAUCCUAAUGUUGACAUUAAGAAUCAGCAUUACUCAUAGCAGUAAAUACAGGCUUAUUGAUGUUCUAACAGGUGGCUGCUAAGAGAUCUGUGGGCUCAUAACUAGAGUGUAUGCUAGAACAGACAGGAGGCUCACAGGCCUACAGGAGAGAAAUGGCUCCUUGCCUUUCUUCCCUGUUGGAUUUCUUUAUACAGCUGUGUGUGUUGCAGGGACCAGAGUUUGGUUUCCCUGAAGUAAGCCUAGCAACUUGUUUUUCAGUUCAGCACAGUAAAAUCUGAGCAGAAGAGAACUCCUUGUUGGCCACCCACCUCACAGUCUCUGAAAGGGAACUCUGUGAGGAAGCAUUCCACAUUAGGCAAAUGUACAUUUCUGCAAUCAAAAUGAAAAACACUUGAGCUGAUUCAUCUACAGUUAGCUCUGGCUGAUUGAAAAGAAUGCAGGGAACCCUGCAAGUUUCAGCGAUUUUGGCAGGGGAGGAAACAGCUGUAACGUUGUCGAGGGUCUGUAGGAGCUGUGCAGGCUGCUGACAGCACCAGGAAUGCCCAGCAAUGGGGCUGAUACAUUCCCCUUUGCUCAAACAUGAAUUGAACUUUUGACCCCAUAUGAAGCAUCUGGCUCUUGUGGACCUCAUCCUGUUUUUCCACAGACUGCUUUUCUCUUUCACAACCAGAGGGUAGGAUAUUUUUUAAACUGUUUUGCUUUUACUCAAAGCUAGAUGUUCUUUAGUUGCAGCUGAAAGGGUUGGAAAGUGAGGAAUGAGAACUGGUAUUUCCUGCUAUCCCACAGGGUUAGGGAAAAACCAAGUUGAGGACUGUCCAGUAAACCUUAGAUGUGUUAUCUAGGGAUAGUCAUCAGUUAGGAGGGUUGUUUUCAGUUACUAAAGACCCUCUCGUCUCUCUUUGAGGCUCCUUCUCCCCAACCCCAUCUCCUUGCUGUUCCUAUGCCCAUCCAAGUCAGCACUUGUCUACCAUCCUCCUGCCAGGGCAUCCUCUGCAGCUCCCCGACCAGGCCUCCCCUUCCCAGAAGAACUCCACACAUUGACUUUUCUUUCCCUUGUACUUCACAAUUUAUUUGCAUCUUAAGCUGAUGACCCACAGAAAGAACCAGAUAAACCAAUUUAUUCUAAGGUAUGGCUGACUUGAGUGUUCUGAAUAUAACUCUUCCAAGGGUACAUGCAUUUUAUUAAUACAGGACCAUGAUUCAUCCAACGAAUGUGUCUCUAAUGGUAAAAUUUCUGUCCUCCUGUACCAGCUUGUAUAGAUUAUUGGGGGAAUAGAGAAAGUCUUCCCUGAACCUUUUAAGUCAUUUCAUUCCCUGUGGAUAAACUUCCUACUACUUUCCCACAUUUUAAAAGAUGCACAACUAAGUCACUAUAUCAAAUUUUUACACUUGUGGCAAAAUGCAUUGAAAUCAGUGAGAAUUUUUUUAAAAAAUGGCAUUUUAUUGUCUUCCAUUUAUUUUACGUGAUUAAACUGAGUCACCAAUUGAACAUCCUUAGUCAUAGAUUUGUAAAACUUCCAGAAGUUCUGUAAACCAAAUAAAGCGAAGUAAUGGCAAGUAGAUGGAUUGAAAAAUAAAUUUCUUCAUCUGAUUAAAAAGAAAAUGAAGGGAAGGGAGGGAGGAUGGGAUUAGGAAAGAUAGUAAAAUGAAUCAGUCACAGCUUUCCUACAUUCAUAUAUGAAUACAUGACCAAUGAAACUCACAUAUCAUGUACAACCACAAGAAUGGGAUCCUAAUUAGGAUAAGUUAUACUCCAUGUGUGUUAUGUAUAACAUGUAAAAAUACACUCUACAGUCAUGUACAUCUAAAAAUAACACAUAUUUUUUAAAAAGUAAAGGGUAGCAGUUACCCUCUAGAAGCCAACAAUAAAAGGGAAAAUAUUUCCAAGAUUCUUUGUAAAGGCCAAGCAAUUACCAAGUGGAAACCCUGGGCUCUAUGUUCAACAUUGUGUCAUGAAUUUUUAACUUAGAAGCAAUAAAUGACAGGGACAUCAGUCUUAUUGAAAAUGCUAAUUGAUUAUUAAGCGUUAUUUAUUGUUACCAAAUAAUAGCAUUAAAAUAUUUUCAGUGAUCAACAUUGGAAGUUUCAGCCGUAUGAUUGCAUUAUCAUUUUCUUGGCUGCAAAUGCCUUGUGUCAGGUACCCUAUCUCAUAAACCUCUGUUGCAUCUCACAAAAGGCUUUGUGAAAGGUCAGCAAUUAGUAAACACUUGUUUUCUGAGUUAAGUUUUGUUUUCUUUCUAUUUUGCUUUCUGUUUUCCCUUGGGCUGCAUGGUAUUUAAUAAGCCCAGGGAGGGAAACCGUCUCUUAGAAGUUCUUAUGUAUAAAUAAAUUGAUGUCAAAGGCCCAAUUUCUGUAUAAAGAAACAAAUGCAGUCAACUGAUUUGGUGCACAUUUACAGGGCACCACCUAUGUGGUGGGCCCCUGAAGAAGAAUGAGGCCUUGUUCCUGCUAUUGUCCUUCCCUAGCUAGAUACUAGACCUCACAGUGAUAGAUAUACCUGCUGAGGAGGCUCCCUGUCCUGAAAGGACCUCAACAAGAGGCACAGAGGUAUUCUGAAGGCAAUGCCCUGGAAUGUGAAGCCUGGGACAGGAGUGUAGAGUGGGUCUGAGAGAUCAGACACAUUUUGCACUUGUGGGGGAAUUCCCUCGUUGCAAAUAGAUGGUGAUUUCAAAUUCUUGAUCCAAACCCUACUUCCUCUUUUGAAUCAAGUAGGCUUGUAACUAUUCUUGAGGCUCUGAAAUAGUAAGGGAUCUUCCUAAUUGAAAAUUUAGCUGCUGGUUUCAGAAGCAGAGUUUUGAAGUCAGAAAAAGGAAAGGGACUAGGACAAUAAGCGGAAGCGCAGAACAAGAGGUCCUUAUCUGGUCCAGCUUCCCUUCCACCCAGCCACCACCCAACAUUCCAUCAGAGACAGCCUUAAGAAUGUUGAGAAGAAAUUCCUCACAGUCCCCAAGCCACUUGUUUCUAUCUGAAAACCCUUGGUGAAAUUUACCUAUGUAACUUGCCUAAAUGGCUCUUCAUGAAUUUAGCUAGCAUCAUGCUCACGGAAAUAUCUUAUAUCUAAGUGUAUUCUAGGGCUUCAGCUCUCUUUACUUCUAGUCCAGAAGUUCUCAGACUUAGCAAAUGUGACCUUUAUUCACUGAGGUUUUAGAUAGUACUUGGAAGUGACAUCGACUCUUGGACCAAAUCACUCAACUUUCUUGGUCACUCUCACAGCCAUACAUAUUGAUGCAGUCCUUGGUUUGGGAAAUAUAGUUUGGGCUUAAAUAACCCUAAAACGUCACAUCACUUUUUGGAGAUCUUGCAUGUUCUUCUUUUGUGUUCUUUAAAAUGCAGAGACUACAUUGGAUUUAUUAUUAAAUAUUAUUUAAUAAUAAUAAUAUAUUAUUAAAAUAAUGGCAUUGCCAGCACUGUGUUUGAAGCCAUUUUUCUUCCUUAACCAUUGCUGUAGCAGUGCCAACUGUUGACUCCUUGGAAUGAUCACCUUUGUGCUAAGCGUCCUAGAACAUAGCACUGUAACUUCUUAAGUACCCUACUAGACUUAUUUGGUAAACUAUAUACAGUAGCAAUUCCCAAAAUUUUUGUUUGUUUCAGGGCCCCUUUCUAUAUUCUUGCAAUUUUUGAAAACACAGAAGAGCUUUUGUUUUAUGUAGUUUGGGGUUAUUGCUGUUUACUGUCCAGGAAAUUAACAAUAAAGGUUAAAGCAGCACAACACAUUAUCUGUCUCAUUGAUGAUAUCAUAUGUCAUAUAGCAUUUGCAAAACUCCACAGCCCACUCAGGUAAGAACAAAGGGGAAAGAAACAAAUAAUGGUCAAUAUUAUCAUAACGAUAGCCUUAACUUGGUGAAUACACCAAUACAGUAUUAGAUUAGUGACUCAGCCUAAGGCCCAAAGUAAAUACGAACAGAUGAUGCUAAAUUCUGGUUAACAGUGCUGAGAGGAAGGAAGGAAGGAGAAGAGAUUGAUUUACACAGAAUCCAGGAUGUAUUCAUUAGCUACUGGUUUUGCCUAGUCUCAUACUGCCUACCCUAGAGAAUUGCUUCUGUUGAUUUGAGUUUUUAAAGAAGCAGUCCAAUGAAAUGUUUUGCUGAAUUCUUAGCAAUGAUAAAAGGGAGCACGCUGUUCCCUUUUGCAGUGAUCCAUGGAUAAAAUGGUAAAAUGAUCUGUAGAAGAAAUGCCUAAUGCUUCAGUAAAAACUGUUUCUCCUCAGAAUCUAGUAUGUUUUUAUCUUAUGAACACUGUAGAGCUUACAACUAUGCUUUCAGAUCUGCUUUGGCCAACAGAAAAACAAGAGCUAGAAAUCCAAUUUCUAUUUAUUUAUUAUUCAGAAUCUAGUGGCAUUAUUUUUAUAAGAAAUUUUUGCUGGCAUUAUCUUAUCCCUGGGAUUAUAUUUUACCUUUGCUCUGAUUUUUUCUUAAUGCUUUAUUGUGUCUGUUUCUUAAAUUGAUCUGUGUAUUUAAUCUCCAGUGGGAAGGAAUGAAUUAAUCUGUGAGAAACAAAGAGAUGAGAUCCAGUUGAGAGGGAUUGCCUGGAGUGUUUGGCAGGGUACCAACCAAGUUGGGUAGCUGUAUAAGGUUUCACUAAUGAAAUGGAUCUUAAGUGGAGAUUAGGAGGGAAAGGAAGUGGGUUGCUGGACACACGGAGUGUUUCGUAUGAGAAAUUGGUGGUAACAAAGAUGCAGUUGUGAAGUGAGUGAGUGAUGUGCUAAGCACAGUAAGGAGAUCUGUCUGACUGUGGUCCUGGAGCUGAUUACCUUAUUAUGCUUUUAUGUGAUUGAAGAGGCAGCUGAGGAUACGAGCUCUAGAAAAAUAGAGUAACAGUUUCCUAUUAAGGGAGGAUUCUCACUUCAGUUUCUAAAAUAAAUUACAAGGUAGCAAACUUAAGUCUGAGAAGCCAAUGAGGAGAAUAUUCUGGUACAGUAUAUCAAAGUAAGCCUAUCAACAAAAGCAGGUGAGAAUAUGAAGAAGAAUCUGUGAACUACGGUCAUAUCUUGUAGCUGGUUUAACUUAAACUUCAUUCCCCUGUGACAGCUAUUUAUUGCUGCUCACCAGGUCUGCUCAUUCACCUUUGUCUCCAGAGCCUAGCAUAGUAUAUGGCACAGAGUAGGUGCUUCAUAGUGUGUCAAAUGAAUAAAAAGGGUCCCUGUCUCCCAAGGAAAUACAAUGAAAUAUGUAUAAAUUGCUUUGGAGCUGUUUUAUAAACAAGGGUAAUAGCUAAGGAGCAAUCACAAUGGGAUGGCUGGAGCAACAGUCAUAGAGGAAAACAGAGGCAGAAGCAGGCAGGCAGGUGCUUUGCCUUUCCUCAUUCUGGAGCAGUACAUGGUCUUGCAGGACGGCGGCCCUAGGAUACGGGGAUUUUUAAGUUAGCUGAUUAGGGAACGUUUGACUCCUUCCCUAGUGUGACCAGGGGCCAGUAUACAAUGAAAAUAGAUGUUAGGACUAGGGAUGUAGUUCAGUGAUAGAGUACUUGCCCCAGCAUAAACAAACCCUGGGUUCAAUCCCCAGCACAGAAAAGAAAAUGUGUAUCAGUACUUGGGCUCCAGUCUGCUCUUACCAGUUUAGUGUCUGUGAUUUUAGGUAGGACCAGCUCUUCUCCUGGCAGGGUUGAAACUGGGGACCAAGAUGCAAACUGAACAGCACUAAUAGCCUUAAGAAUUGGGCCAGAACUUUUCCAUAGUAUUCUGCAACCUAUUUUCUUGGAUCCUAGCUCAUAGGGAGGACAGUCUUAAGAACAUUAAAAGGUUGUCCUCUAAGCCUCACACCCCAGUCUACUGGUAAUGUGUUCAAUUUCAACCUGCGAAACCCAUGAGGCUAGCCAUGACAUCACCUAGGACACAAUAAAGGAUUGUUAGGAAGGGUGGGGUGAUCCCUAGGGUGCAGACCGUUUGGUCAAGGCUGCUAAAGUAGGACUAUUUCCAGUGCUAGUUCUUGAAAUUCUAGCCGGAGCAAUUAAAUAGGUGAAAGAAAUUAAAGGGAUAUGGAAAUAGGAAAAGAAGAACUCAAACUAUCAUUAUUUGCUGACAACAUGAUUCUAUACUAAGAGGAUCCCAAGAACUAUACCAGAAAACUUCUAGAAUUAAUAAAUGAAUACAGCAAAAUAGCAGGAUAUAAAAUCAAUACCCAUAAAUCAAAUGCAUUUCUAUACAUCAGUGGUGAAUCCUCUGAAAGAGAAAUUAGGAAAACUACCCAUUCACAAUAGCCUCAAAAAAAAAAAAAAAAAACUUGAUUCCCAAGUAUUUUAUUUUAAUGAAAGAAGUGAAAGACCUCUACAAUGAAAACUACAGAACACUGAAGAAAGAAAUUGAAGAAGACCUUGGAAGACAGAAAGAUCUCCCAUGCUCCUGAAUAGGCAAAACUAAUAUUAUCAAAAUGGCCAUACUACCUGAAGUACUAUAUAGAUUCAGUGCAAUUUCAAUUAAAAUCCCAGUGUCACUCCUUAUAGAAAUAGAAAAGGCAAUCAUGAAACUCAUUUGGAAAAAUAAGAGACCCCGAAUAGCCAAAGCAAUC
Marmota monax (woodchuck) is the source of this 31178-nucleotide long non-coding RNA. RefSeq lists it as uncharacterized. NCBI's taxonomy places the organism in Eukaryota, Metazoa, Chordata, Mammalia, Rodentia, Sciuridae. The transcript is spliced from 2 exons. The record is from RefSeq and is a predicted model, not a curated record.